Molecule: ribosomal RNA, 370 nt
Filed under: uncultured eukaryote
Lineage: Eukaryota
Description: partial 18S ribosomal RNA
Rfam family: Eukaryotic small subunit ribosomal RNA
Source: RNAcentral
CAAUAGCGUAUAUUAAAGUUGUUGCAGUUAAAAAGCUCGUAGUUGGACCUUGGACCUGGACAGGCGGUCCGCCUCACGGCGUGUACUGUCUUACUGGGUCUUUCCUCUUGGUGAUCUGUUGUUUCGGCAGCAGGGAACCAGGACUUUUACUUUGAAAAAAUUAGAGUGUUCAAAGCAGGCUCGACGCCGGAAUAUAUUAGCAUGGAAUAAUAAAAUAGGACGUGCGGUUCUAUUUUGUUGGUUUUUGGAAUCGCCGUAAUGAUUAAUAGGGACAGUCGGGGGCAUUAGUACUCACAUGCUAGAGGUGAAAUUCUUGGAUUUUGUGAAGACUAACUUCUGCGAAAGCAUUUGCCAAGGAUGUUUUCAUUAA